Molecule: ribosomal RNA, 253 nt
Filed under: uncultured bacterium
Lineage: Bacteria
Description: partial 16S ribosomal RNA
Rfam family: Bacterial small subunit ribosomal RNA
Source: RNAcentral
UACGAAGGGGGCUAGCGUUGUUCGGAAUUACUGGGCGUAAAGCGCACGUAGGCGGCUUUGUAAGUUAGAGGUGAAAGCCCGGGGCUCAACUCCGGAAUUGCCUUUAAGACUGCAUCGCUAGAAUUGUGGAGAGGUAAGUGGAAUUCCGAGUGUAGAGGUGAAAUUCGUAGAUAUUCGGAAGAACACCAGUGGCGAAGGCGACUUACUGGACACAUAUUGACGCUGAGGUGCGAAAGCGUGGGGAGCAAACAGG